GUGCUUGCUUUGGCAGAAUAUAUGCUAAAACUGGUAUGAUGCAGACAAUAUUAGCAUGGUCACAGUGUCAGGAUGACAUGCAAACCCGUUUAAAAAAUAUAUUU
Molecule: small nuclear RNA, 104 nt
Organism: Peromyscus eremicus (cactus mouse)
Lineage: Eukaryota; Metazoa; Chordata; Mammalia; Rodentia; Cricetidae
Source: RefSeq, a predicted model, not a curated record